GACGAACGCUGGCGGCGUGCUUAACACAUGCAAGUCGAACGGAAAGACCCUGCUUUUGUGGGGUGCUCGAGUGGCGAACGGGUGAGUAACACGUGAGUAACCUGCCCUUGACUUUGGGAUAACUUCAGGAAACUGGGGCUAAUACCGGAUAGGAGCUCCUGCUGCAUGGUGGGGGUUGGAAAGUUUCGGCGGUUGGGGAUGGACUCGCGGCUUAUCAGCUUGUUGGUGGGGUAGUGGCUUACCAAGGCUUUGACGGGUAGCCGGCCUGAGAGGGUGAACGGCCACAUUGGGACUGAGAUACGGCCCAGACUCCUACGGGAGGCAGCAGUGGGGAAUAUUGCACAAUGGGCGGAAGCCUGAUGCAGCAACGCCGCGUGCGGGAUGACGGCCUUCGGGUUGUAAACCGCUUUCGCCUGUGACGAAGCGUGAGUGACGGUAAUGGGUAAAGAAGCACCGGCUAACUACGUG
Molecule: ribosomal RNA, 468 nt
Filed under: uncultured bacterium
Lineage: Bacteria
Description: partial 16S ribosomal RNA
Rfam family: Bacterial small subunit ribosomal RNA
Source: RNAcentral